GGAGAGGUAGCGAAGCGGCCAUAACGCGGCGGUCUUGAAAACCGUUUGGGGGAAACCCCGCAUGGGUUCGAAUCCCAUCCUCUCCGCCA
This 89-nucleotide transfer RNA is filed under the name Eubacteriales Family XIII. Incertae Sedis bacterium. Its description in RNAcentral is "tRNA-Ser". It matches the Rfam family "tRNA". Rfam says of the family: Transfer RNA (tRNA) molecules are approximately 80 nucleotides in length. Their secondary structure includes four short double-helical elements and three loops (D, anti-codon, and T loops). The record is from RNAcentral. Lineage: Bacteria; Bacillati; Bacillota; Clostridia; Peptostreptococcales; Anaerovoracaceae.